UAUCUCGAUAGAACCCAGGGCAAACAUGA
Molecule: non-coding RNA, 29 nt
Filed under: Rattus norvegicus (Norway rat)
Lineage: Eukaryota; Metazoa; Chordata; Mammalia; Rodentia; Muridae
Source: RNAcentral